AAACUGGGAUUAGAUACCCCACUAUGCUUAGCCCUAAACUCAGAUAGUUCCUCGAACAAAUCUAUCCGCCAGAGAACUACUAGCAACAGCUUAAAACUCAAAGGACUUGGCGGUGCUUUACAUCCCUCUAGAGGAGCCUGUUCUAUAAUCGAUAAACCCCGAUACACCUCACCACCUCUCGCUAAAUCAGUCUAUAUACCGCCAUCUUCAGCAAACCCUAAAAAGGAAGAAUAGUAAGCACAAACAUCUUAACAUAAAAAAGUUAGGUCAAGGUGUAACCCAUGAGGUGGGAAGCAAUGGGCUACAUUUUCUAUAUCUAGAACAACCCUUUACGAAAGUCCUUAUGAAAUUAAGAACCAAAGGAGGAUUUAGUAGUAAUUUGAGAAUAGAGUGCUCAAUUGAAUAGGGCCAUGAAGCACGCACACACCGCCCGUCACCCU
RNAcentral lists this ribosomal RNA (440 nucleotides) under Viverricula indica (small Indian civet). RNAcentral describes it as "partial 12S ribosomal RNA". It matches the Rfam family "Bacterial small subunit ribosomal RNA", at positions 769 to 1403 of the family's 1533-position model. Lineage: Eukaryota; Metazoa; Chordata; Mammalia; Carnivora; Viverridae. The record is from RNAcentral.